RNAcentral lists this ribosomal RNA (433 nucleotides) under uncultured bacterium. RNAcentral describes it as "partial 16S ribosomal RNA". It matches the Rfam family "Bacterial small subunit ribosomal RNA", at positions 29 to 507 of the family's 1533-position model. The record is from RNAcentral.
AACGAACGCUGGCGGCAUGCCUAACACAUGCAAGUCGAACGAGACCUUCGGGACUAGUGGCGCACGGGUGCGUAACGCGUGGGAAGCUGCCCUUAGGCUCGGAAUAACUCCCCGAAAGGGGUGCUAAUGCCGGAUAAUGUCUUCGGACAAAAGAUAUAUCGCCUUUGGAUGGGCCCGCGAUGGUUUAGCUAGUUGGUAGGGUAAAAGCCUACCAAGGCGACGAUCCAUAGCUGGUCUGAGAGGAUGAUCAGCCACACUGGGACUGAGACACGGCCCAGACUCCUACGGGAUGCAGCAGUGGCUAAUAUUGGACAAUGGGCGAAAGCCUGAUCCAGCACUGCCGCGUGAGUGAUGUAGUCCUUAGGGUUGUAAAGCUCUUUUACCCGGGAUUAUACUGACAGUACCGGGAGAAUAAGCUCCGGCUAACUCCGUG